UACAGAGGUCUCAAGCGUUGUUCGGAUUCAUUGGGCGUAAAGGGUGCGUAGGUGGCGUGGUAAGUCGGGUGUGAAAUUUCGGAGCUUAACUCCGAAACUGCAUUCGAUACUGCUGUGCUUGAGGACUGGAGAGGAGACUGGAAUUUACGGUGCAGCAGUGAAAUGCGUAGAGAUCGUAAGGAAGACCAGUGGCGAAGGCGGGUCUCUGGACAGUUCCUGACACUGAGGCACGAAGGCCAGGGGAGCAAACGGG
RNAcentral lists this ribosomal RNA (253 nucleotides) under uncultured bacterium. RNAcentral's name for it is "partial 16S ribosomal RNA". It matches the Rfam family "Bacterial small subunit ribosomal RNA", at positions 524 to 776 of the family's 1533-position model. The record is from RNAcentral.